CCCCCGGUAGCUCAGUUGGUAGUAGCGUCUGUCUGAAGAAUAGAAGGUCGUCGGUUCGAUUCCGACCUGGGGGG
This is a non-coding RNA of Hassallia byssoidea VB512170, 74 nucleotides long. The record is from Rfam. NCBI's taxonomy places the organism in Bacteria, Bacillati, Cyanobacteriota, Cyanophyceae, Nostocales, Tolypothrichaceae.